CUUGAUCCUAAUCAAACCUCCAAGAAAAACCUCUAAGGCUAGGCUAAAACUGCCCGUACCGUAAACCGACACAGGUAGUCGAGAUGAGUAUUCUAAGGCGCUCGGGUGAGCCGCGGAGAAGGAACUAGGCAAAUUAACGCUGUAACUUCGGGAUAAAGCGUACCGUCUUUGACGGUCUCAGUAAAUUGGUUCAACCAACUGUUUAGCAAAAACACAGGGCCCUGCAAAAUCGUAAGAUGACGUAUAGAGCCUGAUACCUGCCCGGUGCUGGAAGGUUAAGGAAGGAUGUUCGGCGCAAGCCAAAGCUUUCGACUGAAGCCCCAGUAAACGGCGGCCGUAACCAUAACGGUCCUAAGGUAGCGAAAUUCCUUGUCGGGUAAGUUCCGACCUGCACGAAUGGUCUAAUGAGUUGAACACUGUCUCCUCCGCGAGCCCGGUGAAAUUGUAGUAUCGGUGAAGAUGCCGGUUACCCGCCACGGGACGAAAAGACCCCGUGAACCUUCACUACAGCUUUACAUUGAUUUUGAGUAACAGAUGUGUAGAAUAGUUGGGACGCUACGAAGCCAUGCCGCCAGGUGUGGUGGAGCGGUCGUUGAAAUACCAACCUCUGUUACUUAGAGUCUAAUCCCGAAAGGGAGACAUUGCAUGGUGGGUAGUUUGACUGGGGUGGUCGCCUCCUAAAAAGUAACGGAGGCUCGCAAAGGUGCCCUCAGCAUGGUUGGUAAUCAUGCGUAGAGCGUAUUAGUAUAAGGGCGCUUGACUGUGAGACUGACAAGUCGAGCAGGUGCGAAAGCAGGCUAAAGUGAUCCGGUGGUUCCGCAUGGAAGGGCCAUCGCUCAAAGGAUAAAAGGUACUCCGGGAUAACAGGCUGAUCUCCCCCAAGAGCUCAUAUCGACGGGGAGGUUUGGCACCUCGAUGUCGGUUCGUCACAUCCUGGGGCUGGAGAAGGUCCCAAGGGUUCGGCUGUUCGCCGAUUAAAGUGGCACGUGAACUGGGUUCAGAACGUCGCAAGACAGUUCGGUCUCUAUCUGUGGUGGGCGUUAGUAAAUUGAGAAGACAUGACCUUAGUACGAGAGGACCGGGUCGUACACACCGCUGGUGUAUCUGUUGUGCCGCCAGGUGCAGUGCAGAGUAGCUAUGUGUGGCAAGGAUAAGCGCUGAAAGCAUCUAAGCGCGAAACCUUCUUCAAGAUGAGUUUACUUUUAAGGGUCGUAGUAGACGACUACGUUGAUAGGCUAUAGGUGUAAAGCUAGUAAUAGCAAAGCCGAGUAGUACUAAUUGCCCGUAAGCUUCUAAG
Molecule: ribosomal RNA, 1297 nt
Filed under: metagenome
Description: bacterial LSU rRNA
Rfam family: Bacterial large subunit ribosomal RNA
Source: RNAcentral